GCUACGGGGUAACUUGAAGGUGGGCACCAGCAGAAGAUCAAGGUCACAAGAACGCCAGCCUUGUGACAAGAUGAAGCUACAGUAGGAUGUUUCUUAUCUCCUUUUCUUACCUCCGCAGACUUUGCAGAUCCUGGGUUCCACUUAAAUUCACAGUGAUGUGGGGUUAAAGAGUUUGGAGACCAUUGACAUCACACAAGGCCAGCAGAAGCAUAGGAAGACCACCACCCAC
Rhincodon typus (whale shark) is the source of this 229-nucleotide long non-coding RNA. RefSeq lists it as uncharacterized. The record is from RefSeq and is a predicted model, not a curated record. Lineage: Eukaryota; Metazoa; Chordata; Chondrichthyes; Orectolobiformes; Rhincodontidae. The transcript is spliced from 3 exons.